GUCUAGCUUCCUCCUCGCCUCCUGCCAUGAUUGUAAGUUUCCUGAGGCCUCCCCAUCCAUGAGGAACUGCUGUUGUAGCAGGACGAGCCGCAGACAAAACUCCUUAGACACCGGAUUGAAGAAGGCAGACUUGCGUCUCAAAAGCCGAGCUCACCGCGUGAGCAAUUCCCGUCCCUUUUAAGGGCUUACGACUCUAAGGGGGUCUGCGUGAGAGGGUCGUGAUCGAUUGAGCAAGCCAGGGGUACCUGACUGGGGGCUGCAUGCACCGAAUUCUAUGAAAGAAAAAAAUCCCAUUUUCCCAGGGAGAAACUGAACCAUUCUGACCUCUGGUUAUGGCUGUCAUCCAAACAGUUUAUAUAACCUGUCUGGGAAAUUGAAGAUUGUUCAUAUCUAACUCUGCAGUUACAAAAGGACCAUGUCUCAUGGAAUUAUCCACGCUCAGAUCUUCCGCAUGGCUCAAAACCAUUUUUGGGAUAUGAGACAGGGUCUCACUAUGUUGCUCAGGCUGGUCUCAAACUCCUGGCCUCAAGCGAUCCUCCCACUUUGGACUCC
Molecule: long non-coding RNA, 552 nt
Organism: Homo sapiens (human)
Lineage: Eukaryota; Metazoa; Chordata; Mammalia; Primates; Hominidae
Source: Ensembl